Molecule: small nuclear RNA, 79 nt
Filed under: Pan troglodytes (chimpanzee)
Lineage: Eukaryota; Metazoa; Chordata; Mammalia; Primates; Hominidae
Also listed under: 1 other name
Rfam family: U2 spliceosomal RNA
About the family: U2 is a small nuclear RNA (snRNA) component of the spliceosome (involved in pre-mRNA splicing). Complementary binding between U2 snRNA (in an area lying towards the 5' end but 3' to hairpin I) and the branchpoint sequence (BPS) of the intron results the bulging out of an unpaired adenosine, on the BPS, which initiates a nucleophilic attack at the intronic 5' splice site, thus starting the first of two transesterification reactions that mediate splicing.
Source: RNAcentral
AUCGCUUCUCGGCCUUUUGGCUAAGAUCAAGUGUAGUAUCUGUUCUUAUCAGCUUAAAUAAUCAGGAUGGAAAUUCAAU